UGCCGAUUGGCCCAGCGGUUAAGGCGUCCGACUGUUAUUCCUCUUCGAGGGCAUCGGAAGAUCGUGAGUUCGAUCCUCACAUUGGCAG
This 88-nucleotide transfer RNA is filed under the name Eutypa lata. RNAcentral describes it as "tRNA-Asn". It matches the Rfam family "tRNA". Rfam says of the family: Transfer RNA (tRNA) molecules are approximately 80 nucleotides in length. Their secondary structure includes four short double-helical elements and three loops (D, anti-codon, and T loops). RNAcentral also lists the same sequence under 1 other name. The record is from RNAcentral. Lineage: Eukaryota; Fungi; Ascomycota; Sordariomycetes; Xylariales; Diatrypaceae.